GGACAUAUCAUAACGAAGAGGUAUCGUAAUUGAAGAGGUUUGGAAAGACCCACCACAGAAGGUAAUAGUCCUGUAUGUUAAACGAGAAGACUUCAGAUAUGAUCCAGAGUACCACGGGACACGUGAAACCCUGUGGGAAGCAGGAGGGACCACCCUCCAAGGCUAAAUACUACCUAGUGACCGAUAGCGUAUAGUACCGUGAGGGAAAGGUGAAAAGAACCCCGGGAGGGGAGUGAAAUAGAACCUGAAACCCUGCACUUACAAGCUGUGGAAGCACAUUUCUUGUGUGACCGCGUACUUUUUGUAGAACGGGCCAACGAGUUACGUUAAGUAGCAAGGUUAAGCACUUAAGGUGCGGAGCCGUAGCGAAAGCGAGUUUUAACUGAGCGUUCAGUUACUUGACGUAGACCCGAAACCGGGCGACCUACCCAUGAGCAGGAUGAAGCGAAAGUAAAAUUUCGUGGAGGUCCGAACCCACGAGCGUUGAAAAGCUCGGGGAUGACUUGUGGGUAGCGGUGAAAUUCCAAUCGAGCCCGGAGAUAGCUGGUUCUCCCCGAAAUAGCUUUAGGGCUAGCCUCAAGGUGAGAGAUACGGAGGUAGAGCACUGAAUGUCCUAGGGGGUAUUGCACCUACCGAAGACUAUCAAACUCCGAAUGCCGUCAUCUUAUACUUGGGAGUCAGACUGUGGGUGAUAAGAUUCAUAGUCGAAAGGGCAACAGCCCAGAUCGUCAGCUAAGGUCCCUAAAUGUAAGUUAAGUGGUAAAGGAUGUGGGAUUGCACAGACAACCAGGAUGUUGGCUUAGAAGCAGCCACUCAUUCAAAGAGUGCGUAAUAGCUCACUGGUCGAGUGAUCCUGCGCCGAAGAUUUCCGGGGCUAAAACUUACUACCGAAGCUACGGCAUCAGUAAUGAUGGGUAGGGGAGCUUCCCAUACGGGUUGAAGCAUGACCGUAAGGACAUGUGGACAGUAUGGGAGUGAGAAUGUUGGCAUGAGUAGCGAGAUGUGGGUGAGAAUCCCACAGGCCGUAAACCCAAGGUUUCCAGGGGAAGGUUCGUCCGCCCUGGGUUAGUCGGGACCUAAGCUGAGGCCGAAAGGCGUAGGUGAUGGACAACAGGUUGAUAUUCCUGUACUACCGAUAACCGUUUGAGAGAAGGGAUGACACAGUAGGAUAAGCUAAGCACACUGUUGGUUAUGUGUGCCCAAGCAUUGAGGCAGUCAAAGUAGGCAAAUCCGCUUUGAUAAUGCUGGGAUGUGAUGGGGAGCGAAAUUUAGUAGCGAAGUAGCUGAUUUCACACUGUCAAGAAAAGUCUCUAUCGAGGUUAAAGGUACCCGUACCGCAAACCGACACAGGUGGGUGAGGAGAGUAUCCUAAGGCCAGCGAGAGAACUGUUGUUAAGGAACUCGGCAAAAUGACCCCGUAACUUAGGGAUAAGGGGUGCCACCAUCAGGUGGCCGCAGAGAAUAGGCCCAAGCGACUGUUUACCAAAAACAUAGGUUUCUGCUAAGUCGCAAGACGAUGUAUAGGAGCUGACGCCUGCCCGGUGCUGGAAGGUUAAGGGGAUCUGUUAGAGCAAUCGAAGCAGUGAACUUAAGCCCCAGUAAACGGCGGCCGUAACUAUAACGGUCCUAAGGUAGCGAAAUUCCUUGUCGGGUAAGUUCCGACCCGCACGAAAGGCGUAACGAUUUGGGCACUGUCUCAACAACAGACUCGGUGAAAUUGUAAUUCCGGUGAAGAUGCCGGAUACCUGCGACAGGACGGAAAGACCCCAUGGAGCUUUACUGUAGCUUGACAUUGGGUCUUGGUACUACAUGUACAGGAUAGGUGGGAGGCUUUGAAACCAGGACGCCAGUUUUGGCGGAGCCAUCCUUGGGAUACCACCCUUGUAGUACUGGGACUCUAACCAUAGGCCAUGAAUCUGGUCUUGGGACACUGUCA
RNAcentral lists this ribosomal RNA (1936 nucleotides) under Clostridioides difficile. RNAcentral's name for it is "bacterial LSU rRNA". It matches the Rfam family "Bacterial large subunit ribosomal RNA", at positions 303 to 2259 of the family's 2925-position model. Lineage: Bacteria; Bacillati; Bacillota; Clostridia; Peptostreptococcales; Peptostreptococcaceae. The record is from RNAcentral.